Molecule: transfer RNA, 26 nt
Filed under: Uroplatus ebenaui
Lineage: Eukaryota; Metazoa; Chordata; Lepidosauria; Squamata; Gekkonidae
Description: tRNA-Tyr
Source: RNAcentral
CCCGUGGGUGAGGCUACAGCUCACCG